RNAcentral lists this ribosomal RNA (244 nucleotides) under uncultured bacterium. RNAcentral's name for it is "partial 16S ribosomal RNA". It matches the Rfam family "Bacterial small subunit ribosomal RNA", at positions 15 to 263 of the family's 1533-position model. The record is from RNAcentral.
GCUCAUGGCUCAGAUUGAACGCUGGCGGCAUGCCUUACACAUGCAAGUCGAACGGUAACAGGUCUUCGGACGCUGACGAGUGGCGAACGGGUGAGUAAUACAUCGGAACGUGCCCAGUCGUGGGGGAUAACUACUCGAAAGAGUAGCUAAUACCGCAUACGAUCUGAGGAUGAAAGCGGGGGACCUUCGGGCCUCGCGCGAUUGGAGCGGCCGAUGGCAGAUUAGGUAGUUGGUGGGAUAAAAG